RNAcentral lists this ribosomal RNA (468 nucleotides) under uncultured bacterium. Its description in RNAcentral is "partial 16S ribosomal RNA". It matches the Rfam family "Bacterial small subunit ribosomal RNA", at positions 28 to 507 of the family's 1533-position model. The record is from RNAcentral.
GACGAACGCUGGCGGCGUGCUUAACACAUGCAAGUCGAACGGAAAGGCCCUGCUUUUGUGGUGUGCUCGAGUGGCGAACGGGUGAGUAACACGUGAGUAACCUGCCCUUGACUUUGGGAUAACUUCAGGAAACUGGGGCUAAUACCGGAUAGGAGCUCCUGCUGCAUGGUGGGGGUUGGAAAUUUUCGGCGGUUGGGGAUGGACUCGCGGCUUAUCAGCCUGCUGGUGGGGUAGUGGCUUACCAAGGCUUUGACGGGUAGCCGGCCUGUGAGGGUGGCCGGCGACAAUGGUACUGCGAUAGGGCGCAGAGUCCUACGGGAGGCAACGGUGGGGAAUAUUGCACAAUGGGCGGAAGCCUGAUGCAGCGACGCCGCGUGCGGGAUGACGGCCUUCGGGUUGUAAACCGCUUUCGCCUGUGACGAAGCGUGAGUGACGGUAAUGGGUAAAGAAGCACCGGCUAACUACGUG